AAGCCAGUGGCUAGGCUCAGACUCAAGGCUUUGAAUAGACUUCACUUUUUGAUGAGUGAAGUGUCAACUAUUUUUUGGCACAUUUUAUUUUUCAGUCUGCCACAGAUUGUAAAUUCUAUCUUAUAUAUUUAUGCUUUUCCAGAUAUUUAGUUACAUCUUUGCAAAAUCAACAUGUCUAUCCAUCCAUCUACCCAUCUUAGCAUAAUUCUAUCUCAUAGUGUUUCUGUAAGACUGAGGAUCCAUCCAUUGUUUUGUUUGUUUUGUUGUUUUCCAGGUCCUGACUGUAAUGGUAAGAGAAGAUAUACCAUGUAAUUGAAAAAUUCCCUACAAUGGUCCCCCGGAGUAUGGUCUUUUAUGACUGUGCAAGUACAUCUGUCUCUCAAGCAUAACAUAUACCACCAUCUGGAUUAAAAUUGAAAAGAAAUCAAUGAUUUGGAGAGCUUCGGAUAACUUUAGUGUUGAAUAAACUAACAGUAUGGAUGGUUGGCUGAUUUGAAUUUCUUUUUAUUUGGGUAUUUUGGGACCAUGCAGAUAUACCACUUGAAGCUACAGGUGCAGCCUGGGUUGAUAGUUGAGCUACAUGGCCUAUCAGUCAAUGGCUUUCAAAGUUUCUACCCAAAAGUAACACAUGUGACAUCACAUUUCACUGGCCAAAACGUCACGUGCCCCACCUAACAAAAUGAGGUGCAAAGUUCAAUCCUACUAUGUUCCCUGAAGAAGAAGAGCACAGAACAUUCUGAAAAUGUUUUUAUGACAUAUUUUUAAAAAUAUGUCAAGGAAACAGAAAAGUGAGCAUUUUUAAUACCAUGCCAGUCUGAGGAAACUUUAUGAAAUCCAUUGAACUUCUAGUAAAACUUUUUUUUUUUCCCUUUUUGAUCUUCCCUACAGGUAAAAGGAUUCAACAUUGUUUAUCUAUAACCAAGUAUUUUCUUGAAGGUUUCAUAUUGAUAGAUUUAUAAUCAUUUAAACUCUAUGCAAAUUUGAAUAGAUUAGAAAAUCUAAUGUUUAACUCUUAAAAUGCUCUCCUCAAGUUCUCCAGUUCCUUUAUUUUCCUCUCUGAAAUUAGCAUUAAAAACAAGUCUAGGAGAGAAGUAAAGCCUGCACUAGUCUAAGCUAGUCCAGCUCUUUAAGCUCCUCAGUUCUUACUGUUCUGUGAUAAGACAUUAUUAUUUAAAAUAGGUUUCCUUCACCCACAUUUACUGUUCACUUACUUAUUUAUUAGCUAGCCUAUGUACUUAUUUGUUAAUUUAUUAAGAGGAAGCUGUCGAGGCAAACCUUGGGUUAGUGUAACACAUUUCUGAGUAAAUCUCUGGUGGAAAAAACUUCUCCUUAUAGAUUUGAGUGUCAGAAAGAUGAACAUUCUGAUCACAACUUACUACUUUCUAGCUUUGUGACCUAAGCACCUUCCUGAACCUUCCUCAAAUUCAUUUUCAAUUCUGAAAAAUGAAGGUAAACCCUCCUGGGUGGUGCAGGAAAAGUGACAAGGAGAGUGACUGGCCAGGGAAGAUGCCCAUCUCUAUCUGAGAUAUGUAGGUUUACAGUCAGGGUGUCGCCAGCAUUACUUGGUUGAAAACCAACUUUAACUUGAGUGUUGACCUGAGUGAGGACACUUAGCAAUCAGGAAAUAAAGUUCUGAAAAGGAUUCUCAAAAAACUAACUCCAGUUCGAGUAGCCCACAAGCAGGUGGGAGAUAGCCCCAGCAUUGAUGUUCGUCAGCAUUUAUUUCAGUACUUGCCUUUACAUUCCUCUCCACAUUCCUAACUUUCACCCCUGAUGCCUUUGAAAGUGUGAGGACCAUGGCUUCUUGUUCGCUUCCCAUUUCUGCUCUUUAGAAUAGGUCUGGCCUGUGAGGGGACUGAAUCUUGUGUCUCCCGCCUCUACCAUCAAAGUUCGUAUAUUGAAAUAUUAGCUCCCAAAGAGAGGGUAUUUGGAGAUGGGGCAUUUGAAAUGUAAUUAGACCUUGGAGGUGGAGCCCUCAUGAUGAGAUUAGUACCCUUAUGGGAAGAGACAAGAGAGAGCUUUUUUAGAGGCAGUUGUUCAUAAGCCAGGAAACAGGACCUUCUUGGGCACCAGGCCUGCAGGCCCCUUGAUCUUGGACUCCCCAGCCUCCAGACUGGGAGUGAUAAGUGUUUGUUGUUUAAGCCACAUAGUCUAUGGCAUUUUUUUGUUAUAGCAGCCAAAAUUGGCUAAUACAUACCCUAAAUCUCAGAUUCUAAAAUAUGGCAAGGAAUUUCUUGCAUAUCAACUUUGUUUAGUGUGAGCCCCCACUGAGUCCAGUUACCAGGCAACCAAUUCAGAAAGCAAAGCAGUUGUAAUCAUGUCAAGCAGCUUGGGUAAGCACAUUGCAUGCAGAUGAUGGUACAUGUACCCGUUUUGGUUAAUUUUGGUCCAAUCUGUUCAUGAUUUUUCUUACUUCAUGAAACUCCCUUUGAAUCUAUUGCAUGCAUUUUCCCCAGGUUUCUGCCAAUUAAAAAAAAUUGCCUUUUUUUUUUAAAUCAUUUUAGCCUUUUUGUCCUGACUCACUCCUUGUAUUGGACCUCUAUUCACACAAUGGGAACCUUCUAGACCCAGAAGCAGUGAGGUGAUAAGCACUGGCCAUGAGGAGAAAUGGUAUUCCUUAUUCAUGAGUUACCUCAGGUGAGUUAUCUAAAGAUGGAAAUCUUUGGGAGGUAAUUAGGCUAUAGAGUGAAGCCCUCUUGAUAGAAUUAGUGCCCUCAUAAGAAGAAACAAGAUUGUGCUCCCUUUUCCUCCCUCUCUCUUUCUCCCCACCCUGAGAGAAUAUACCAAGAUGGAGGCCAUUGAUAAGCCAGAGAGCUGCUCUCCCCAGACACUAUAUCUGCUGGAGCCUUGAUCUUGGACUUCCCAGCCUUCAGAACUGUGAGAAAUUAAUGUUAAGCCACCAGCCUGUGUGUUAAGGCAACUGGACCUAACUUGGACAGCCUGUAGGGAGAAUCCACCUUAGUUUCUUCUAAAGGAGAUUCCUUAUAUCAAAUAUGAUUCCACAUUUGCUUCUCAUAUUAACAGAAUAGUAGUAGUAGUACUCAUCAUAAUAGUAGGUGUAGUCACAGAAGUAGUAGUUUUCAAAGAAAUGGUUAUGAAUUGAGAAAGAAGAAAACAAGCAAAAUAGGCUGCCUUAGACCCAAGUGGUAUAGGGUCCUUCCCAAUGCUCUGCACUUAUGUGGUGUUGAGCCUUGGUCCUAAUUAUGUAUGUCUCACAGGACAAGAAGUACAUGAGCACAAGAAGUACGUGAGCAUAAGGGGCCCUUUCUAGGCCACAGUGUGUUGCUUAGGGCUCUGUUAUGCCCCCAUCCAGUGUCCCUGGAUGCACUUCUAGUCCUCCACAGCCUCUUCCCCAGUUGGUCUAUUGAGGUCCCCAAGGAAUGGCCACUGUCAGGCUAUUUGGGGAAGCAAGUGUAUGGGAGUGGAUGGAGCCGGGACGCAGGGGCUGGAUGUUUGCACACAUGUACCUGAGGCUCUUUAUACUGAACAACAGAGCUGGUGAUGGGAAGAGAAGAGGUGAAGCCUAGGGGUCUCCAGUCAUACCUCAGGCCCUGCAAAUAUUAGAGGUGGGCCUCGUAGAAGUAGUAAUGAGAGAAACAGAAAGACAGACAGAGAUGCAAUAACCGCAUUUGUAAUUUCAGGUUCUUAUAAUUGCAUUCCUAUUUCUUAAGUAAAAGAAAGCCGAAGCUUCUGUGAAGAACUUGAUAGGGUCAGAUCAGGGAGCUCUCUGGUUUUAAUGUGCUCCGGUGUGAAGCAAGCACAAACAGGCA
Long non-coding RNA from Microcebus murinus (gray mouse lemur), 3770 nucleotides. NCBI's taxonomy places the organism in Eukaryota, Metazoa, Chordata, Mammalia, Primates, Cheirogaleidae. The record is from Ensembl.